RNAcentral lists this ribosomal RNA (216 nucleotides) under Glomeromycotina sp. RNAcentral describes it as "partial small subunit ribosomal RNA". The stretch from base 75 to 216 matches the Rfam family "Eukaryotic small subunit ribosomal RNA", at positions 721 to 864 of the family's 1831-position model. Lineage: Eukaryota; Fungi; Glomeromycota. The record is from RNAcentral.
GGGUCAGUAGGUUGGUCGUGCCACCGGUACGUACUGGUCUCACUGAUCCCUCCUUCCUGAAGAACCGUAAUGCCAUUAAUUUGGUGUUGCGGGGAAACAGGACUGUUACUUUGAAAAAAUUAGAGUGUUUAGAGCAAGCUAACGCUUGAAUACAUUAGCAUGGAAUAAUGAAAUAGGACGAUCGAUCCUAUUUUGUUGGUUUCUAGGAUUGACGUA